GACGAACGCUGGCGGCGUGCUUAACACAUGCAAGUCGAACGGAAAGGCCCUGCUUGCAGGGUACUCGAGUGGCGAACGGGUGAGUAACACGUGGGUGAUCUGCCCUGCACUUCGGGAUAAGCCUGGGAAACUGGGUCUAAUACCGGAUAUUACCUUCCAUGUAGUGUGGGGGGUGGAAAGAUUUAUCGGUGUGGGAUGAGCCCGCGGCCUAUCAGCUUGUUGGUGGGGUAAUGGCCUACCAAGGCGUCGACGGGUAGCCGGCCUGAGAGGGUGGACGGCCACAUUGGGACUGAGAUACGGCCCAGACUCCUACGGGAGGCAGCAGUGGGGAAUAUUGCACAAUGGGCGGAAGCCUUAUGCAGCGACGCCGCGUGGGGGAUGACGGCCUUCGGGUUGUAAACCUCUUUCGACAGGGACGAAGCUUCGGUGACGGUACCUGUAGAAGAAGCACCGGCUAACUACGUG
Molecule: ribosomal RNA, 465 nt
Filed under: uncultured bacterium
Lineage: Bacteria
Description: partial 16S ribosomal RNA
Rfam family: Bacterial small subunit ribosomal RNA
Source: RNAcentral